RNAcentral lists this ribosomal RNA (472 nucleotides) under uncultured bacterium. RNAcentral's name for it is "partial 16S ribosomal RNA". It matches the Rfam family "Bacterial small subunit ribosomal RNA", at positions 33 to 541 of the family's 1533-position model. The record is from RNAcentral.
ACGAACGCUGGCGGCAUGCCUAACCCAUGCCAGUCGAACGAGACCUUCGGGUCUAGUGGCGCACGGGUGCGUAACGCGUGGGAACCUGCCCUUAGGUUCGGAAUAACUCCCCGAAAGGGGUGCUAAUACCGGAUAAUGUCUUCGGACCAAAGAUUUAUCGCCUUUGGAUGGGCCCGCGUUGGAUUAGCUAGUUGGUAGGGUAAAAGCCUACCAAGGCGACGAUCCAUAGCUGGUCUGAGAGGAUGAUCAGCCACACUGGGACUGAGACACGGCCCAGACUGAGACGGGAGGGAGUAGGGGGGAAGCGUGGAGAAGGGGCAAAAGCGAGAAGCGGGGGAGCCGGGUGAGGGAGGAGGGCGUGAGGGUUGGAACGCUCUUGGACCGGGGAAGAUAAUGAGGGAAACGGAAGAAGCAGCUCCGGCAAACUCCGGGCCGGCAGACGAGAGAAAAAGGAAAAAGCACACGUCUGGAC